AUGGCGAGCUCGUCAUCCGAGGCGGCGCCGCCCGUCGCCGCCGGCGAGGAUCCAUUCCACCUGGACACGCUCAUGAGGGCCGAGGAAUUCCUGGAGCCUCUGCCGCCGCCGGACGAGGAGUUUCUUGCGCGGGUCCGGGAGCAGCGGGGACAGAAGGGCUUCGUCGAGAUAGAACUCACCGACGACGACGACGACGACGAGGAGGAGGGAGGAAACGCAGCUCCCCCGGCUAGUGGAAGGGGAUCUGUGGAGGAGGACAGGUCCAGCCCCGAGGUCACCAAGAAACCGGGCGGCGGCACUGCGAUCAAGAAGCUCAGCUGA
RNAcentral lists this ribosomal RNA (321 nucleotides) under Triticum aestivum (bread wheat). RNAcentral describes it as "partial small subunit ribosomal RNA". Lineage: Eukaryota; Viridiplantae; Streptophyta; Magnoliopsida; Poales; Poaceae. The record is from RNAcentral.